Molecule: long non-coding RNA, 260 nt
Filed under: Brassica rapa (field mustard)
Lineage: Eukaryota; Viridiplantae; Streptophyta; Magnoliopsida; Brassicales; Brassicaceae
Description: long non-coding RNA (BRAP_LNC001526)
Source: RNAcentral
AUAAAUUAAAAAAAAAACUAUUGACGGAAAAAAAAAAAAAAAGCUUACAUGUUAGUAUGUGUCACUUUUUUUUUAGUAUAUGUCACUUGUAGUCUUGUACAAAGAAUAAGUCAUUAAUAUUUGUUGUUCUUUAUUCUUAACAUUAAAUAUUUUACCUAAUCAAUAGAUUAAUCCAGGUGUCACGUCGUCCUAUGUGUUACUUUUUUAUACACCAUGGUAUCGAAAAAACAAACCAUUAACCUUUCUUCCUUAUACCUUUU